CGGAACGAUGGGAGCUUGCUCCCAGGCGUCGAGCGGCGGACGGGUGAGUAACACUUAGGAAUCUACCUAGUAGUGGGGGAUAGCUCGGGGAAACUCGAAUUAAUACCGCAUACGUCCUACGGGAGAAAGGGGGCAGUUUAUUGCUCUCGCUAUUAGAUGAGCCUAAGUCGGAUUAGCUAGUUGGUGGGGUAAAGGCCUACCAAGGCGACGAUCUGUAGCUGGUCUGAGAGGAUGAUCAGCCACACCGGGACUGAGACACGGCCCGGACUCCUACGGGAGGCAGCAGUGGGGAAUAUUGGACAAUGGGGGCAACCCUGAUCCAGCCAUGCCGCGUGUGUGAAGAAGGCCUUUUGGUUGUAAAGCACUUUAAGCAGUGAAGAAGACCUAACGGUUAAUACCCGUUAGCGAUGACAUUAGCUGCAGAAUAAGCACCGGCUAACUCUGUGCCAGCAGCCGCGGUAAUACAGAGGGUGCAAGCGUUAAUCGGAAUUACUGGGCGUAAAGCGAGCGUAGGUGGCUUGAUAAGUCAGAUGUGAAAUCCCCGGGCUUAACCUGGGAACUGCAUCUGAUACUGUUAGGCUAGAAUAGGUGAGAGGAAGGUAGAAUUCCAGGUGUAGCGGUGAAAUGCGUAGAGAUCUGGAGGAAUACCGAUGGCGAAGGCAGCCUUCUGGCAUCAUAUUGACACUGAGGUUCGAAAGCGUGGGUAGCAAACAGGAUUAGAUACCCUGGUAGUCCACGCCGUAAACGAUGUCUACUAGUCGUUGGGUCCCUUGAGGACUUAGUGACGCAGCUAACGCAAUAAGUAGACCGCCUGGGGAGUACGGCCGCAAGGUUAAAACUCAAAUGAAUUGACGGGGGCCCGCACAAGCGGUGGAGCAUGUGGUUUAAUUCGAUGCAACGCGAAGAACCUUACCUGGUCUUGACAUACACAGAAUCUUGUAGAGAUACGAGAGUGCCUUCGGGAAUUGUGAUACAGGUGCUGCAUGGCUGUCGUCAGCUCGUGUCGUGAGAUGUUGGGUUAAGUCCCGCAACGAGCGCAACCCUUGUCCUUAGUUACCAGCGGGUUAAGCCGGGAACUCUAAGGAUACUGCCAGUGACAAACUGGGAGGAAGGCGGGGACGACGUCAAGUCAUCAUGGCCCUUACGACCAGGGCUACACACGUGCUACAAUGGUAGGUACAGAGGGCAGCUACACAGCGAUGUGAUGCGAAUCUCAAAAAGCCUAUCGUAGUCCAGAUUG
RNAcentral lists this ribosomal RNA (1240 nucleotides) under Psychrobacter sp. GN89. RNAcentral describes it as "bacterial SSU rRNA". It matches the Rfam family "Bacterial small subunit ribosomal RNA", at positions 67 to 1300 of the family's 1533-position model. Lineage: Bacteria; Pseudomonadati; Pseudomonadota; Gammaproteobacteria; Moraxellales; Moraxellaceae. The record is from RNAcentral.